RNAcentral lists this transfer RNA (76 nucleotides) under Staphylococcus aureus. RNAcentral describes it as "tRNA-Lys-TTT". The stretch from base 21 to 76 matches the Rfam family "tRNA", at positions 1 to 53 of the family's 71-position model. Rfam says of the family: Transfer RNA (tRNA) molecules are approximately 80 nucleotides in length. Lineage: Bacteria; Bacillati; Bacillota; Bacilli; Caryophanales; Staphylococcaceae. The record is from RNAcentral.
AUUAUUUACAAACUAUAUAAGGCGGUGUAGCUCAGCUGGCUAGAGCGUACGGUUCAUACCCGUGAGGUCGGGGGUU